AUGAACGCUGGCGGCGUGCUUAACACCUGCCAGUCGAACGAUGAAGCCCAGCUUGCUGGGUGGAUUAGUGGCGAACGGGUGAGUAACACGUGAGUAACCUGCCCUUGACUCUGGGAUAAGCCUGGGAAACUGGGUCUAAUACUGGAUAUGACUUCUCAUCGCAUGGUGGGGGGUGGAAAGAUUUAUUGGUCUUGGAUGGACUCGCGGCCUAUCAGCUUGUUGGUGAGGUAAUGGCUCACCAAGGCGACGACGGGUAGCCGGCCUGAGAGGGUGACCGGCCACACUGGGACUGAGACACGGCCCAGACUCCUACGGGAGGCAGCAGUGGGGAAUAUUGCACAAUGGGCGCAAGCCUGAUGCAGCGACGCCGCGUGAGGGAUGACGGCCUUCGGGUUGUAAACCUCUUUCAGUAGGGAAGAAGCGAGAGUGACGGUACCUGCAGAAGAAGCGCCGGCUAACUACGUG
RNAcentral lists this ribosomal RNA (465 nucleotides) under uncultured bacterium. RNAcentral describes it as "partial 16S ribosomal RNA". It matches the Rfam family "Bacterial small subunit ribosomal RNA", at positions 29 to 507 of the family's 1533-position model. The record is from RNAcentral.